GUCCCUGUAGCGCAAUGAAUAGCGCGUUGGACUCCUAAUCCAAAGGUUGUGGGCUCGAAUCCCCCCUGGGAUA
RNAcentral lists this transfer RNA (73 nucleotides) under Trichonephila inaurata madagascariensis. It matches the Rfam family "tRNA". Rfam says of the family: Transfer RNA (tRNA) molecules are approximately 80 nucleotides in length. Their secondary structure includes four short double-helical elements and three loops (D, anti-codon, and T loops). Further hydrogen bonds mediate the characteristic L-shaped molecular structure. tRNAs have two regions of fundamental functional importance: the anti-codon, which is responsible for specific mRNA codon recognition, and the 3' end, to which the tRNAs corresponding amino acid is attached (by aminoacyl-tRNA synthetases). tRNAs cope with the degeneracy of the genetic code in two manners: having more than one tRNA (with a specific anti-codon) for a particular amino acid; and 'wobble' base-pairing, i.e. permitting non-standard base-pairing at the 3rd anti-codon position. Lineage: Eukaryota; Metazoa; Arthropoda; Arachnida; Araneae; Nephilidae. The record is from Rfam by way of RNAcentral.